This 85-nucleotide transfer RNA is filed under the name Felis catus (domestic cat). It matches the Rfam family "tRNA". Rfam says of the family: Transfer RNA (tRNA) molecules are approximately 80 nucleotides in length. Lineage: Eukaryota; Metazoa; Chordata; Mammalia; Carnivora; Felidae. The record is from Rfam by way of RNAcentral.
GCCAGGGUGGCUCAGUCGGUUGAGCAUCUGACUUCGGCUCAGGUCACGAUCUCACGGUUCGUGAGUUCGAGCCCCGCGCUGGGCU